Molecule: unclassified non-coding RNA, 331 nt
Filed under: soil metagenome
Description: partial contains 5.8S ribosomal RNA, internal transcribed spacer 2, and large subunit ribosomal RNA
Rfam family: 5.8S ribosomal RNA (bases 1-120)
Source: RNAcentral
GAUGAAGAACGUAGCGAAAUGCGAUACGUAAUGUGAAUUGCAGAAUUCAGUGAAUCAUCGAAUCUUUGAACGCACAUUGCGCCCUCUGGUAUUCCGGGGGGCAUGCCUGUUCGAGCGUCAUUAUAACCACUCAAGCUCUCGCUUGGUAUUGGGGUUCGCGGUUUCGCGGCCCCUAAAAUCAGUGGCGGUGCCUGUCGGCUCUACGCGUAGUAAUACUCCUCGCGAUUGAGUCCGGUAGGUCUACUUGCCAGCAACCCCUAAUUUUUUUUAAGGUUGACCUCGGAUCAGGUAGGGAUACCCGCUGAACUUAAGCAUAUCAAUAAGCGGAGGA